This 370-nucleotide ribosomal RNA is filed under the name uncultured bacterium. RNAcentral describes it as "bacterial SSU rRNA". It matches the Rfam family "Bacterial small subunit ribosomal RNA", at positions 29 to 441 of the family's 1533-position model. The record is from RNAcentral.
AGUGAAUGCUAGAGGUAUGCUUAACACAUGCGAGUUUAACGAAAUAUUUUUAUUUAGUAGCGUACGGGUGCGUAAUGUAGGAGAACUAGUAAUUGAGUCUGGAACAAGAGAUUUUUCUGUAUAAAUUCCGGAUACUAAAGAUUUUAUCGCUCAAUUACGGGCUCCUAUAGGAUUAAGUUGUUGGUGGUGUAAUGGACUACCAAGCCUGAGAUCCUUAGUUGGUCUGAGAGGAUGAUCAGCCACACUGGGACUGAAACAAGGCCCAGACUUCCAUGGAGGGCAGCAGUGAGGAAUAUUGGACAAUGGGCGUAAGCUUGAUCCAGCAAUACCUACUGAGUGAUGAAGGGAACUCUGUAAAACUUAGGAAUGA